Molecule: ribosomal RNA, 253 nt
Filed under: uncultured bacterium
Lineage: Bacteria
Description: partial 16S ribosomal RNA
Rfam family: Bacterial small subunit ribosomal RNA
Source: RNAcentral
UACGGAGGGUGCGAGCGUUGUCCGGAAUCACUGGGCGUAAAGGGCGCGUAGGCGGCGCGGGAAGUCAUCGGUGAAAGUUCAGGGCUCAACUCUGAAUCGGCCGGUGAUACUCUCGUGCUCGAGCACUGUAGAGGCAGGUGGAAUUCCGGGUGUAGCGGUGGAAUGCGUAGAGAUCCGGAAGAACACCGGUGGCGAAGGCGGUCUGCUGGGCAGUUGCUGACACUGAGGCGCGACAGCGUGGGGAGCAAACAGG